CUUGUUCGCGAUAAGAAUGAAACUCUUGCGCAGGUGCUCAGUUCCUUUCCACCAGAUAUUUCUUUCAAGCGGGAUUUGAUUGGUCCCCGUCUUGUGUCAUGGCAACAUAUUUUGUCCCGAUUGGAUACGAUUAGUCUGACAUAAGGACGAGAUGUGUUCCGCUGGAACCUCACUGCAUCUGGGUCCUUCACAGUC
RNAcentral lists this ribosomal RNA (195 nucleotides) under Triticum aestivum (bread wheat). Its description in RNAcentral is "partial small subunit ribosomal RNA". Lineage: Eukaryota; Viridiplantae; Streptophyta; Magnoliopsida; Poales; Poaceae. The record is from RNAcentral.